This 207-nucleotide ribosomal RNA is filed under the name uncultured bacterium. RNAcentral describes it as "partial 16S ribosomal RNA". It matches the Rfam family "Bacterial small subunit ribosomal RNA", at positions 568 to 774 of the family's 1533-position model. The record is from RNAcentral.
CUCGUAGGCGGCUCGUCGCGUCCGGUGUGAAAGUCCAUCGCUUAACGGUGGAUCUGCGCCGGGUACGGGCGGGCUGGAGUGCGGUAGGGGAGACUGGAAUUCCCGGUGUAACGGUGGAAUGUGUAGAUAUCGGGAAGAACACCGAUGGCGAAGGCAGGUCUCUGGGCCGUCACUGACGCUGAGGAGCGAAAGCGUGGGGAGCGAACA